Cavia porcellus (domestic guinea pig) is the source of this 276-nucleotide regulatory RNA element. It matches the Rfam family "Mason-Pfizer monkey virus packaging signal". Rfam says of the family: The packaging signal is located in the 5' UTR and is required for specific RNA encapsidation. The record is from Rfam. NCBI's taxonomy places the organism in Eukaryota, Metazoa, Chordata, Mammalia, Rodentia, Caviidae.
UGGCGCCCAAUAUGGGCUCAAGAAUGGGGAACUCCAUGAGGGACACUGUUCGUGGGCCCAAAGUAGAAAAAAAGAAAAGAAAAUAGAGACCCUGACAAUGUGGAGCCUGCCAUGCUGCGCUGAAUCUCAGUAAGUGAAUAGCGAUUAUAGGACAAGAAAUGAGCCAGCAUGAGAUUUUCGUUGAAAGUUUAGCAAAGGCUUUAAAGGCACAAAGAGUAAAGGUCAAAAUUAAGCAAUUGUGUCAAUAUUUUGAUUUUAUAAAAGAAGUUUGUCUUU